GAUGAACGCUAGCUACAGGCUUAACACAUGCAAGUCGAGGGGCAGCAUGGACAUAGCUUGCUAUGUUUGAUGGCGACCGGCGCACGGGUGCGUAACACGUAUCCAAUCUGCCCGUUACUCGGGGAUAGCCUUCUGAAAGGAAGAUUAAUACCCGAUGGCAUGUAUUUCCGGCAUCGGAGAUACAUUAAAGAUUUAUCGGUAACGGAUGAGGAUGCGUACGAUUAGCUUGUUGGCGGGGUAACGGCCCACCAAGGCGACGAUCGUUAGGGGUUCUGAGAGGAAGGUCCCCCACACUGGAACUGAGACACGGUCCAGACUCCUACGGGAGGCAGCAGUGAGGAAUAUUGGUCAAUGGUCGGAAGACUGAACCAGCCAAGUAGCGUGAAGGAUGAAGGUUCUAUGGAUUGUAAACUUCUUUAUACGGGAAUAAAACCACCUACGUGUAGGUGCUUGUAUGUACCGUAUGAAUAAGCAUCGGCUAACUCCGUGCCAGCAGCCG
RNAcentral lists this ribosomal RNA (499 nucleotides) under uncultured bacterium. RNAcentral's name for it is "bacterial SSU rRNA". It matches the Rfam family "Bacterial small subunit ribosomal RNA", at positions 28 to 517 of the family's 1533-position model. The record is from RNAcentral.